GAUGAACGCUGGCGGCGUGCCUAAUACAUGCAAGUCGAGCGAACGGACGAGAAGCUUGCUUUUCUGAUGUUAGCGGCGGACGGGUGAGUAACACGUGGAUAACCUACCUAUAAGACUGGGAUAACUUCGGGAAACCGGAGCUAAUACCGGAUAAUAUUUUGAACCGCAUGGUUCAAAAGUGAAAGACGGUCUUGCUGUCACUUAUAGAUGGAUCCGCGCUGCAUUAGCUAGUUGGUAAGGUAACGGCUUACCAAGGCAACGAUGCAUAGCCGACCUGAGAGGGUGAUCGGCCACACUGGAACUGAGACACGGUCCAGACUCCUACGGGAGGCAGCAGUGGGGAAUCUUCCGCAAUGGGCGAAAGCCUGACGGAGCAACGCCGCGUGAGUGAUGAAGGUCUUCGGAUCGUAAAACUCUGUUAUUAGGGAAGAAAAUAUGUGUAAGUAACUGUGCACAUCUUGACGGUACCUAAUCAGAAAGCCACGGCUAACUACGUG
This 497-nucleotide ribosomal RNA is filed under the name uncultured bacterium. RNAcentral describes it as "partial 16S ribosomal RNA". It matches the Rfam family "Bacterial small subunit ribosomal RNA", at positions 28 to 507 of the family's 1533-position model. The record is from RNAcentral.